GUGCCAGCAGNCGUGGUAAUACGUAGGUGGCAAGCGUUGUCCGGAUUUAUUGGGCGUAAAGCGAGCGCAGGCGGUUUUUUAAGUCUGAUGUGAAAGCCUUCGGCUCAACCGAAGAAGUGCAUCGGAAACUGGGAAACUUGAGUGCAGAAGAGGACAGUGGAACUCCAUGUGUAGCGGUGAAAUGCGUAGAUAUAUGGAAGAACACCAGUGGCGAAGGCGGCUGUCUGGUCUGUAACUGACGCUGAGGCUCGAAAGUAUGGGUAGCAAACAGGAUUAGAUACCCUGGUAGUCCAUACCGUAAACGAUGAAUGCUAAGUGUUGGAGGGUUUCCGCCCUUCAGUGCUGCAGCUAACGCAUUAAGCAUUCCGCCUGGGGAGUACGGCCGCAAGGCUGAAACUCAAAGGAAUUGACGGGGGCCCGCACAAGCGGUGGAGCAUGUGGUUUAAUUCGAAGCUACGCGAAGAACCUUACCAGGUCUUGACAUACUAUGCAAAUCUAAGAGAUUAGACGUUCCCUUCGGGGACAUGGAUACAGGUGGUGCAUGGUUGUCGUCAGCUCGUGUCGUGAGAUGUUGGGUUAAGUCCCGCAACGAGCGCAACCCUUAUUAUCAGUUGCCAGCAUUAAGUUGGGCACUCUGGUGAGACUGCCGGUGACAAACCGGAGGAAGGUGGGGAUGACGUCAAAUCAUCAUGCCCCUUACGACCUGGGCUACACACGUGCUACAAUGGAUGGUACAACGAGUUGCGAACUCGCGAGAGUAAGCUAAUCUCUUAAAGCCAUUCUCAGUUCGGAUUGUAGGCUGCAACUCGCCUACAUGAAGUCGGAAUCGCUAGUAAUCGCGGAUCAGCAUGCCGCGGUGAAUACGUUCCCGGGCCUUGUACACACCGCCCGU
Molecule: ribosomal RNA, 892 nt
Filed under: uncultured bacterium
Lineage: Bacteria
Description: bacterial SSU rRNA
Rfam family: Bacterial small subunit ribosomal RNA
Source: RNAcentral